ACACUGGGAGAACGGUAGAGGCUCAUCCAUUGCACUCCGGGUGUGCUGACCCCUGCGAUUUCCCCAAAUGUGGGAAACUUGACUGCAUAAUUUGUGGACC
Molecule: small nuclear RNA, 100 nt
Filed under: Anolis carolinensis (green anole)
Lineage: Eukaryota; Metazoa; Chordata; Lepidosauria; Squamata; Anolidae
Description: U1 spliceosomal RNA (ENSACAG00000019473.1)
Rfam family: U1 spliceosomal RNA
About the family: U1 is a small nuclear RNA (snRNA) component of the spliceosome (involved in pre-mRNA splicing). Its 5' end forms complementary base pairs with the 5' splice junction, thus defining the 5' donor site of an intron.
Source: RNAcentral